Small nucleolar RNA from Suncus etruscus (white-toothed pygmy shrew), 90 nucleotides. RefSeq annotates it as small nucleolar RNA SNORD91 family. Lineage: Eukaryota; Metazoa; Chordata; Mammalia; Eulipotyphla; Soricidae. The record is from RefSeq and is a predicted model, not a curated record. The transcript has a single exon.
UUUAGGAGCCAAUGAUGUGUUCAAAAUGUCUGAACCUGUCUGAAGCAUCCCAGUGAUGCCACAUCUUUGUGAUGCUGAGGCUUCUUGCUA